This is a non-coding RNA of Cinara cedri, 3060 nucleotides long. Lineage: Eukaryota; Metazoa; Arthropoda; Insecta; Hemiptera; Aphididae. The record is from the annotation of a GenBank genome assembly.
AUAAAACAAAAAAAUAAAAUAAAAUAAAAAACAAAACUUAAAUUAAUUUUACCAUAAUAAUAAUAAUGACCGCGUACAUAAUAAAUAUCAUAUAGGUAAGUAAUUUAUUGUGUAUCGACAAUCUUACACAUUUUCGGCAAAACAUUUUCGUUUACAUUUGUAGUCGAAAUUCAUCAUCACGCAAAAGGGUUGAAAAAAUUUAAAAAAAAAACAGCUGUAUAAUGAGACUAGUCUAAAAAAAAAAAAAGUAAUUUGUAACACACGCAUAUGUUAUAUAUUUUAUAAUCUUAUUAUUAAAUUUUUUUUUUUUUUACGUUGAUUUACAAAACGUAAAAGUUUACAAACACCGAAAAAACAACACCCACACGAUAAUUUUUUUUUUAUUAUUAUUACAAUAAACCUACUUAUAUGAUUAAUUAUGGGUAAUUUUUUUUUAUGUAUCAUGAUUAUUCCGUUUUGGCUUUGUUGAUCGUUUUUUUUUAUUUUUUUAUUUUUUUUAUUUUUUUUUUUUUUAAUAUUAUUAUUAUAUAUUAAAGAAAUAUUAUUUUUAUUUUAUGUCCCUGAAUUUUUCUUUUUGUUCAUAAAAUCACAGUAAAAAACAAGUGUGCGACUUAAUGCGCUUGGUUAAAAUUUUUAAAACUUAACACUGUUUCAUUUUACAAACAUAUGGAAAACAAUAACAAAAACAAAAAAAAAAAAUACUCCUUGCAAUGUUUGUCUAUGCGUGAAUGAAUAAAAUAUUUUGUGUCAGGACCGUUUCCCUCCAAAAAUGGGAUACCGUUUUCUUAUACCCUCCUCAUUUUUAUCUUCCUCCUUAAAAAAAGUCAUACUUUUUAUUUUGUUUGGAAAGAUUUCUUUGAACUUUUAGCAUUUGUUUUUUCCAUAUUUUCCUGUUGUCUGCCAUAUUCUUGAGCUCUUCGUAAGAAAUAAUUCCCGCACCAUCCUUCAUUAAUUAUUUGAUGAUAUACUUCGUUCCUUGUAACUCAUACCUUGGUCUUUCUCUUGAUUGUGAUCCUUCCUUUAAUUAAUGAGCUGUGUUACCAUUUAUUUCUAUAUCUCAGUGCGUGUCUUAAUAUCAUUUGCCAUUCUCUAUAUUCUUUUGAGUAUCUAAUAAUAUCCGUUUCUCUUCUAUUGUCUUAUAAAAUCGUGUUUAUUUUUUGUUUACAUACUUACAAAAAGUCCUAAUUUUAACCAACUGCCUUAUUAACUGUUACGUAAACCGAAUCAAAAAUUAAUCUUAAAGAACCCGAUCAAAAUUCUAUGGAAUCUAAUCAAUUAAACAUCACAAAAUAAAACGUAUUAUAUCGUUUACAAUUAUUUUUGAAAAUGUGAAUCUAUUUGAUUUUUCAACUUAUUAACUACAGAUAUUUUAAUGUAUAUUCCUCAUUCAAAUAUGAACAAAACAUGUGAAUUAUACAGGUGUACAAAUAUUAAUAUUAUUUUUUUUUUGGGGAGGGGGGUUUGGAGGAAAACGGUAUCUAUCUAGUUUCUAGAGGAAAACAGCUACAGCUUUUUUUUAAAUUCAUAAAUAAAAUAAAAAUCGGCAUGUUUAUAUAAAAUUAAAGAAAAUGAAAAUUUAUUUUUGGAAUUUGGCUAGUCAUUUGUGUUUUUAUUAAUAAUAAAUAAUAUAGGUACGGAACUCAUAAGUAAUAAUAAUUUUGAUAAUCUUAUACAAAUAAUUAUAAUUAUAAUAUUAUAAUGUUAUAAUAAUAUAUUUUUAGUAUGGAAAUUAUAAAUUUAAUCAGGUAACAUAGCACAAUUCAUGUUUUUUUUGUUUUUACAAAAAAACAUUCGAUUUUGUUAAAAUUUCAAAAAUAAAAACACUUAAUAAGGCGUUCGUUAUAAUAAAUAUCAUAUGGUAUAAGUACUUAUAAAAAUUUAAUUGUUUAAAGUUUAUCGUUCAUAUGGUAUAUUAUAUAAUAAUAUUAUUAUAAGAAGAGAUGACAUAAAUGAUAAUAUUAUUUUAUUGUAUGUAUUUGUCAUUUUACGACAAAAAUAAUGAGUUUCUAACAGUUUAUGUAUACUUUGUUUCUUAUUUUUUUUUUUUGUAUUGAAGUUAUUAUGGACUCGGUGGGGUGGCUAGCACGAUUUUUUUGAAGUCAAAAUUCAUUCGAAAUUAGCAACGGGGUAGUGGGCUAUUCAGAGCUUGUAGCAAUAUAACCAUAAUAAAUACAGCAGAUAUUUAUGUGUUAAUGUUUUUAUACAUUUAUUGGUUGGUAAAAAAAAAAUAAUAAUAAUAACUUGUUUCUACCAAAAUAUAUUUCAUGAACUAACGAUUCUACAAGUAUUUAAAAUUUUAUCUUUCAUUAUAUUUUAAAAUUUUGAACGUUUUUAGAGAAUAUAAUUUUAAGGAUAUUUUAAAUUCAACAAAUUGCGAAUAUUACAAAAUAAUCGUUUCAGAUUUUUGGAGUAAAAAUUUCAAAUACGAAUCGUUUCAAAGAGUACACAUUUCUUUUUUUUGUUGUGGAACAUAUUUUAAUAGCAUAACUGCAUUCCUGUUAAAUAUAACUUUUUAGGUAAUAUAAAUAUCUGCCCUACUAUAUUAACACUGUAUUAUUCAUUAAAGAGAGUUGGUUAAUGGUAUUGGAUAUUUAAGAAAAUGUUUGAGCUCCGUUCGAAAAUUAAGUUUUAUAUUUUGUCAGUGGCAUACUUUCGGGAGGGAGGGAUAAGUCCUCUUCUAGAACAUGGUUGUAUAUAGGUUUUAACUUUGGUUUCUGAAACCACUUAUUGUGUGUCCGUUAUAUAUUAAUGUAUCAUUUAAAUCCCUAAAUCCAAUAAAAUUAGUAUUAUAGAUCUGAAUAAGUAUUUAAUUUAUAGAGUGUGUGUCAUUCGUGGUUAAAAACUAAAGGCAGAUAAUGAAAAAAUCAAGGGUGUGCAUUAACGAGUUAAUAAUUUCUGAAUUAAUUUAUUUUUAAUUAUUAACUCAGCUUUUAACAUUUGAUUUUUUUUAUUUUUAUUAACUUGUCUUAUUAUUUUUUUCACUUCAAAUAAAUAAAGAGUUAAUCUUGAAUUAAAAAGUAUCUACCAUGUUAGGCAAAUUUUAAUUUUAACACAGUAUUU